This 253-nucleotide ribosomal RNA is filed under the name uncultured bacterium. RNAcentral describes it as "partial 16S ribosomal RNA". It matches the Rfam family "Bacterial small subunit ribosomal RNA", at positions 524 to 776 of the family's 1533-position model. The record is from RNAcentral.
GACAGAGGGUGCAAACGUUGUUCUGAUUUACUGGGCGUAAAGCGUGUGUAGGCGGCUUGGCAAGUUGGAUGUGAAAGCCCACGGCUCAACCGUGGAAGCGCAUCCAAAACUGCUUCGCUCGAGUCUCGGAGAGGAAGGUGGAAUGUUUGGUGUAGAGGUGAAAUUCGUAGAUAUCAAGCAGAACACCUGCGGCGAAGGCGGCCUUCUGGACGAUGACCGACGCUGAGACACGAAAGCGUGGGGAGCAAACAGG